RNAcentral lists this ribosomal RNA (809 nucleotides) under uncultured archaeon. RNAcentral's name for it is "bacterial SSU rRNA". It matches the Rfam family "Archaeal small subunit ribosomal RNA", at positions 85 to 879 of the family's 1478-position model. The record is from RNAcentral.
ACGGCUCAGUAACACGUGGCUAACCUGCCCUUGGGACUGGAUCACCCCCGGGAAACUGGGGCUAAUCCCCGAUAGGUGAAGAACUCUGGAAUGAGUCUUUGCUCAAAGGGCGCCAGAUCAUGCUUCUGGUGUCGCCCAAGGAUGGGGCCGCGACCGAUCAGGUUGUUGGUGAGGUAAUGGCCCACCAAGCCUAUAACCGGUGCGGGCCGUGAGAGCGGGAGCCCGGAGAUGGGCACUGAGACAAGGGCCCAGGUCCUACGGGGCGCAGCAGUCGCGAAAACUUUGCAAUACACGAAAGUGUGACAGGGUUAUCCCGAGUGCCGACCGCUGAGGAUGGCUUUUACCCAGUCUAGAAAGCUGGGGGAAUAAGGAGAGGGCAAGUCUGGUGUCAGCCGCCGCGGUAAUACCAGCUCUCCGAGUGGUGUGGACGUUUAUUGGGCCUAAAGCAUCCGUAGCUGGCUGAACAAGUCCCCUGUUAAACCCACCGAUUUAAUCGUUGGCGUGCGGGGGAUACUGCUCGGCUAGGGGACGAGAGAGGCAGACGGUAUUCCCGGGGUAGGGGUGAAAUCCUAUAAUCCCGAGAAGACCACCAGUGGCGAAGGCUGUCUGCUAGAACGCGCCCGACGGUGAGGGAUGAAAGCUGGGGGAGCGAACCGGAUUAGAUACCCGGGUAGUCCCAGCUGUAAACGAUGCAGACUAGGUGUUUGGACGGCCACGUGCCGUUCUAGUGCCGCAGGGAAGCUGUUAAGUCUGCCGCCUGGGGAGUACGAUCGCAAGAUUGAAACUUAAAGGAAUUGGCGGGGGAGCAC